Molecule: ribosomal RNA, 228 nt
Filed under: uncultured bacterium
Lineage: Bacteria
Description: partial 16S ribosomal RNA
Rfam family: Bacterial small subunit ribosomal RNA
Source: RNAcentral
CGGGUGAGUAAUACAUCGGAACGUGUCUUCUAGUGGGGGAUAACUGCCCGAAAGGGCAGCUAAUACCGCAUGAGACCUGAGGGUGAAAGCGGGGGAUCGCAAGACCUCGCGCUGGAAGAGGGGCCGAUGUCCGAUUAGCUAGUUGGUGAGGUAAAGGCUCACCAAGGCGACGAUCGGUAGCUGGUCUGAGAGGACGACCAGCCACACUGGGACUGAGACACGGCCCAG